CUUCGCACCGAGCUUUUUCGCUCUGCAUCAUCGUCAGAAUCGCACAGUUAACGCAGCUGAGUGUAGUUUCAUUGUCAAGUUCUUUCUCAGUCUGCAUACCUUAAGCAGCAGAGUGUCCUCAUAAAUUUGAAGUCUUUUAUUUCGAGCCGUUUUAUAAAUCGCAUUCUUACUCAUCGCUAUCGCUGAUCGUGGAAGAGUAAUGUUGAGAAAUAUAAGUUCCUCGUGGGAAGCGUGAACGAGGAAAAAACAGGGAGGAACGUAGCAAAGGAAAAGCGAGCCACGACUCUGCUCAUCCUGCUGGAGUCGGUGAGCCUAAAUUAACCCGCGGACUCGCAACCUCGAAACUGCAAUGACAUAUCUCAUCACGGUUCACUCGGUACUUUUAACAAAAAUAACAACUUUUUCUUUCACUCUUUCACUUCUGAACUUUUGCUCGCGGAUGAGCUUCGAUUUCCAAUCUUUUCUCAUAAAAAUUUGAUCGAUGGAGCCUUCUGCUGCUUGCCUUUGGCUGUUUACCUUGAGCCUGAUACCGUUUGAAACUACGAACCAAAUCCUAACUUUUUCACAAACAUUACGAAUGAUUGGAGUGAUUAUGGAGAAUUUGAUAAAUUCGGAGUGAGCAUAACCGCUGUUGGUCGGUUGAUUGAUUGACAGUUGGCAUUCACUUUUUAGAGAAAUGAGCAAUUUUUUUUUGCUUUCUUUGCGGCAGGAAACAUCCAAAUUUUAUUCUGCAGCUCGCCACAAAACUGUGUUUCAUUCAAUAAGUUCUUGUUGAACGUACACGCCGAAUCAGCCUCAGGGCGGGUUUUAUUCAGAAUUAAUUUAGAGACUUUCCCGAAUCGAAGUUACUCAGCUCGUCCCAAAUUUAUGAAACUUUGAUCAACCGGCGAAGUGAGCUAGAAAGUUCGAACUGGUACUGAAUUUUUGUGUUACAAAGUUCCGGCGGUUAAAUUUGUUGUCAGUAUUAAAAGAAAAAAAAAAUUAUCACGAAUUGAUUUUUUUCAAUUAAUAUUUUUUUUUCGCCUCAGUGAUCGAAAAACAAUAAGAAAUAAUCGAAAUACAGUUGUGUAAAAUCAUGCUUGCAUGAUUUAAAAGUUAUGUCAAUAAUUUGGGAAUUUCGGAUCGAUCUGGUGCUCACAAAACGACCAGUGAAAAAUGUUUUAUUGGGAAAAUGUUGUUUUUACGAAACUUUUCGACCAACUGGACGAAGCUACCUGCGAUUAAAAACGCACCUUGAAAAAAACUUCAACGAGCGUUUUUUUUUUAAAGUGGUUUGUAGCUGUAAAGCAGCAGCUUGAAAAGAAAUGUCACAAAGCAAAAAUUUCAAUAUUGGAAAAAGUUUUGACAAUACGCAAGUAAAUUAAUAAAAUUCCACGUCAAAAUGCUCGAUAUUAAUAUUUUUCGAUGGCAAUAGUGAUCCUCCAACCAGAAUCUGGGGCCCCUUAAUACGUGAAUAGCCAUAUUCGAUUUUGAACAAAUGACGAGUCGUUGUCGAAAUAUUUUUGGAAAAAAGGAUGAAAUAAUCGACGUUUGCAGCUCCUCCAUAAUCGUUUACGCCGCUUUACUUCACGUUCGUCUAAUUUUUCUUUAUUUCCAAGUGUGAACAUGUAAAAAGUGAUUUUCAAUUAUCCAACGUUUUUCUAGUCAUAGAAAGCGUGUUUUUUAGUACGAUUUUCGAUUUCGAGUGCUAUCGUAACAUUCGCGUUUUCGCGUGACAUCGAGUUUGAGCUCGCACCGGAAGUUAUAAUUUCAGAAAUAAUAGUGGGUUGAAAUCCCAAAAUUGAUUUCCGAUUAUUCGCGUCGGAUUUAGCCACGUUUCUCAACGAUUACGAAGCUAAAAACUGAUGUACACGAAUAAUUGGUGUCGGAUUGAUUUUCAUCGGGUAAUUUGUUGCGAAUGCCGCGGAAAAUUUAGGCGGAAAAAGCUGGUCGUUUCCCUUGACCUUGAAUUCUUCCGGCAAUUGAGUCUGUUUUUUGGAGGGGUCUCUGGGUUUCCUAGAGGAUUCUUCCACCCCCUUUCCUGUGCUUGUCUGGCUAACGCUCCUCACAAAACGCUGCUCCGCGGCACCGUGCGAUGGAAAAAAAGUUGCCACUGUUCAGCGGCUACAAGAACAAUAAGAGAGCGUUGAAAAGCGGGGGAGUGAGGUUAGAAGAGAAGAGACAGGGCUCACAGAAGGCUCUACUGCCCUACGGGGAAAUCAAGGCAAUGCUGUCGUGCUUAUGCGAAAUUGCGGCAAGGGGAUGGUUUUUUCACCCCCCUCCCUUUUAUUCACGCCUUCGCCGACAGUCUCGUGUUUGUGUUUAACCAUUUUCACGGUUACGAUCUAUCUCGAUCGUAUUUCUAGAUUCCGUUACUUUCGCGUUAAAUAAUCUUAAAUUUAAUCUUAAAAUAAAUUUCAUUAUGGCAUAUGAUUUAGAAAAAACAUUAAAAUGGAUGCCUUGGAAAGAAAAUCAUUUCAAUUCCUUCGGGAAUAUGCGAAAUAAUUGCUGCUUCGGGGCUGAAAGAAUUGCUUCGUUUUCAGAAAUUUUUCUUCAGGAAUUUUUUACUUCUUCAUAGUUUUUGCUGAUUUUACUCUUCCUUUUGAAUAAACGAUUUGGGAACAAAAAAUAUGCUAAUUGGAGUGUGCACCCGUAAAUUGCUGAGCGUUGUUUCAUCAUUGCACGAGAUUAGGCUGAAAUUUUGUCCCCCCUAAAAAGGAAGCGCGACUGCAAAAUAAAUCUUAAGGUUGUUGCUCAACAUUUUUGAGGUGAAUGGAUGUCUAUAAAAAUGUUUCUAUUUGUUGAUAAUAUCUCCUGAGUUUCGGAGAAUUUUGGAGAAAUUCAAUGUCAAAGUUGAGUAAAAAUGCCAUUUCAUUGCAUCGAUUGAAUGAGCCGAAGUCGUUACCUUCACACUUUUUUGCUUAUAUCACUCUUAUUAUCGAAGAAAUUCAUUUGAAAAACGACAGUUCGGAACAGCACGAUAUAUAGAAUGAUUUCACUAAAAAGAACAGAUAGUUUACCGACUUGAAUGACCAGAAAUCACCGAAGAUAUAUGUGACUGCAUCACGAUCAUAUCGGGCUAACUGAGACUGCGGCGUAGAAAUGCGACAACUUUGCAACUACGACACCAACGGGAGCAGUUCCUUGACAGGCAGUCGUUGACAUAAUAACCUCCUAAAACGUCGGGCGAAACAAGUAACACGUACACAGAGGCAUCCAAUCCAACAGCUGAUUGCAGAGGAGCAUGAGAUAUUUAACGUUUAUCGGAGUUUUGUCCCUCGUCUUUUCAUCGUGACGACUUUUCUAUACCCCGGCCUAUUUCUAUGUCGACAGAGGACGACGGGGUAAGGUUGAAGGGAAGGUAUUCGAGUGGGUAGGAUUUCCCGACCCUCGGAGUGGGGGUGAUUGAUGGCUUGGAAAAUUAGGUAGGAGCCACGUGGUUGAGGAAGAAAAAAACGUGGCAAAAAGGCAACACAACGGCGGAGCGAAGACCCGCGGGCGGGCUCGUCUCGGGGAUCAUAGCGCAGUUACUCCCUGAACGAGUGACGAGGUGGAAAAUUAAGAAUAGACUUUUUCUGGGCGGCUUAUUUACUCCCCGCGCUCGUGAUUUACCAUGCAAAACUCUUUAUGGAGCGAAAAGUUUUGCGAAAAUAAUCAUGAAAAAAUGGAUAUAAGAAUUGUAUUGAAAGUGAAACAGCAAAUGGAAUAUAUCACUCUCUUUUUGAGGCGGAAUUCCAAUUUUCCUGAGUGUUCUUUUGCCUCACACAAAUGUAAAAACACGAUAUUUGUAUGUAUAAACGUAUUGGUAACUGGAUUAUUAA
This is a long non-coding RNA of Venturia canescens, 3800 nucleotides long. RefSeq lists it as uncharacterized. The record is from RefSeq and is a predicted model, not a curated record. The transcript is spliced from 2 exons. NCBI's taxonomy places the organism in Eukaryota, Metazoa, Arthropoda, Insecta, Hymenoptera, Ichneumonidae.